UUUUUGUUAAACUAUUCUGGCUUAGAUACACUAUUACAGUAUAAAAGAAUUUAAUGUACAGCAGACAAAAUAGUAUUCAGCAAUGCAAACAGGUUCUGAAGACAGAAUACUCUUUAAAAGAGUAUUGAAGUAUUAUUUUAAAGUCCCUUUAAAGGGAACUUUAGACCUUUAACAGACUAUAUACUUUAUUUAAAAUAUUUUAAGCUCUCCUUUUACAUUGCAAUGUUACCCUGAAAUGCUUACAAGACCCUAAAUGCAUGAAAAUAAAAUUAUAGCAGCUGCUUUCUUUGUCUGUGUGGCAUAUGGAUUUUAGUGGCCUGGCAUGAUUGCUGCUGCCAGCAUAAGCCAGCAUUGGACUUACAGGUACCAGGUCAGGAUGACUGCAUCUCGUCUUUGGCCCGGAGUGGAGACUAAUAUAUAUUAUUUCUUGUGAAAAUGAGAUGGCUGAAUAUGUUUCUACUAGUGAUUCUUGCUUUGCAUUUAUACUGAAAGCUAAUAAAUUACCUUCCAAAUGUAGUUUUUGUUUUCUAUGAAACCAUCUGUUAGUAAAGCCAGAUGUGCUGCUAAUUAGCAAAACAGACCUCAAGCAGCUCUAUAUAAAUUUAGCUCCCUUUGUCUCUCUUUAAUAAUGUGGUUACAUUAGCUGGAACAGUCUGUUCAAUUUAUACUCAGAAACAUUGUUUGGUUUAAAAGUGCAUGAAUGUACUUGCCAAGCUCAGGUUUUUUAAUGCAGUCUCCCUCCUGUAAUCUUAAUUCUGUGACUGUGCUCUCUCUGGUUAUUGGUAAAUUAUUACAAAAGUAUUUCUAAUCAAUGCCAAUAAAUGUAUCACCUGUACACAA
Candoia aspera is the source of this 840-nucleotide long non-coding RNA. RefSeq lists it as uncharacterized. The transcript has 2 exons. Lineage: Eukaryota; Metazoa; Chordata; Lepidosauria; Squamata; Candoiidae. The record is from RefSeq and is a predicted model, not a curated record.